GGGUCUUACGGUCUCGUUUUUUUUUUUUUUUUUUUUUUUUACCUGUCAGUCGGAUUUUGAUGCUGGAACCGUUCCUCCGAGUCCCAGGAUUCGACAUCCCUCCGUGAAAAACGAUCCGACAAAUUUCCCCUUCGGGUCUCCAAAAAGAGACCGUUUCACGACUCAGUCGGACGGAGAAUGUCUUCAGAUUACAAACACGCGGUUUGUUUUUCGGUUCUUCAUGGAUGCGAAUGUAUUAUUUCAUCGCAAAGUCCUGCGUUUCUUCGAAAUCCAACAACACCGGAGAACAUUUUCGGGCAGGCUCAAGCACGUCAUGACGUCAUAGUCUUAACUGUGCAGCCGUCGGUGCUCGCGUCCGGUGGGCGUGUCCGUGGAAGUCCCUGCACAAAAUGAUACGCAUUUCUUCAGUCCAGUUUGGUGAAAACCUUGGCUCCCUCCAGGAACUCAAAGGCGGUGGAGAUGAGAGGAAGAGGGUACCUGUACCGUGAUCUCGUUGAGACCAAGGGGAUGAAGAUGGGCGAAUGAUCCCGGCUGCCAGUGAUUCUUCCACAUACUCCUUCAUAGCCUUGUGUUCCGGCCCUGAAAGAGACAACAACCUCCCCCGUGGAGGUGUGGUCCCAGGCAUCAAGUCAACUGCACAGUCAUAAGGUCUGUGGGGUGGAAGGGAUUUGGCAUAAUUGAUGC
This is a long non-coding RNA of Phycodurus eques (leafy seadragon), 684 nucleotides long. RefSeq lists it as uncharacterized. The record is from RefSeq and is a predicted model, not a curated record. The transcript is spliced from 3 exons. Lineage: Eukaryota; Metazoa; Chordata; Actinopteri; Syngnathiformes; Syngnathidae.